CCUACGGGUGGCAGCAGUGAGGAAUAUUGGUCAAUGGGCGCGAGCCUGAACCAGCCAAGUAGCGUGAAGGAUGACUGCCCUACGGGUUGUAAACUUCUUUUAUAAAGGAAUAAAGUGAGGCACGUGUGCCUUUUUGUAUGUACUUUAUGAAUAAGGAUCGGCUAACUCCGUGCCAGCAGCCGCGGUAAUACGGAGGAUGCGAGCGUUAUCCGGAUUUAUUGGGUUUAAAGGGAGCGUAGAUGGGUGGUGAAGUCAGUUGUGAAAGUUUGCGGCUCAACCGUAAAAUUGCAAUUGAUACUGGCAGCCUUGAGUGCAGUUGAGGUAGGCGGAAUUCGUGGUGUAGCGGUGAAAUGCUUAGAUAUCACGAAGAACUCCGAUUGCGAAGGCAGCAUACUAAACUGCCACUGACGUUGAUGCUCGAAAGUGUGGGUAUCAAACAGGAUUAGAUACCCCUGUAGUC
This 460-nucleotide ribosomal RNA is filed under the name uncultured bacterium. RNAcentral's name for it is "partial 16S ribosomal RNA". It matches the Rfam family "Bacterial small subunit ribosomal RNA", at positions 338 to 795 of the family's 1533-position model. The record is from RNAcentral.